AAAAGAAGAAGCGAAGCCGCGAGGCAGAGCAAAUCUCGAAAAAACAAUCUCAGUUCAGACUGCAGGCUGCAACUCGCCUGCACGAAGUCGGAAUUGCUAGUAAUCGUAGGUCAGCAUACUACGGUGAAUACGUUCCCGGGCCUUGUACACACCGCCCGUCAAACCAUGAGAGUUGGCAACACCCGAAGUCGGUAGUCUAACCGCAAGGAGGACGCCGCCGAAGGUGGGGUCGAUGAUUAGGGUUAAGUCGUAACAAGGUAAC
Molecule: ribosomal RNA, 262 nt
Filed under: uncultured bacterium
Lineage: Bacteria
Description: partial 16S ribosomal RNA
Rfam family: Bacterial small subunit ribosomal RNA
Source: RNAcentral